AUGCUUACGCGGUUUGGAGCACGUCUUUCUCGCGUGCGCGGUCUUGCUCGCUCGCUCUAGAUUCCGGGAGAUUUUAAGUAAUUUGCGGGCAUCAGGGAGUCGCUAUCAAUAUGCGGGAGACUCCCGGAACUUCCGGGAGACUUGGGAUGUCUGCAUGUUUUGAGUUUACCUCAGAUGAAGAACUCGGAGGUUAUUGUGUUGGGGUAAAUUGAUUUCUGAUUUUGGUGUGUAUUUGUGGUUUGUCUGUUGUAUAGAUACCUCACCCCUCACUCCUGAAAUGGUAGUAGGGCAACCCACUCCAGAAGUUGUCAGGAGUUUUGUUCCGGACAAAUCUAGGUGGAGCAAGCCACUGAGUUUGUCCCAGCAUGAACAGGUAUCAAUAUAUACACCUGGUGAAGGGUUGCUGAUGACUACAUUGAUGUGGUCUUGUACUUGUAUAUAGUUAAUGUUGAACUUGUAUAAAAUGUUUAAAAUAUAUUUGAUUAUGCUUCUGACAGCUCCAAAACACUCUUGGCAUGAGUGAUGAGGAGGAGGUGGCAUACACUGAUGGCAUUGCAUUAACGAGAAAGGACUUCAUUACACUUGCUAAUCCUGUAGAAGUUGACGGAAACUUAAGAAUAUCAUGACAUACUAACAGUUUAACAGUGAAGUACAGUGCUUUGUGGUAUAGUGUCCCUUUUUUCCAAUAGGUGCUGAAUUUUGGGUUUCCAGCUUCUACAAAGAAUAGCUAGUCAACAGGUAGCAAAGAUCUUUUUAACAGUUUUGGAACACUCAAGUCAGCAUAUUUUGCUCACAUCCACACUGAUACCUAAAAUACUUUUUAGAACAUUGACAUCUUUGCUGCUAAUUGCCAUGUGACUCUCACCUGGUUGCCCCCAUAUUCAGCAGACCCCAUGGAUCACUUCCCUGUUGAUGUGAAAAUGCAGGACGCUGUGCUCCUUCCAUCAUGGAAACCAGGUCAUUCGAUGAUACGUGUGAGUUUGUAUUAAAUUAGUGCUUCGUGUUUCCCAUUUAUGAGAUGGAUAUCAGUUAUGUUUUGUACAUGUUUCUUCAUGUUCCAUCAUUCGGGGGUGCACCAUUUCAGAUCUUGAAGCCCAAACAGAAACAAAUAUUUUUCCUCAACUCAAUGGGAGGCCCUGGCAUUGGUGAUGCCGCUUACACAGCUAAAUACAGGUUAUUUGUAGGGAAUGUUCUUGCGUGAAAGGUUCAAGGUUCACUUUUACUUGCCAGUUCAUUUGGUUCUAUAUACCAUAUGCCAUGCUGUCUUCAUCCUAAAAUGCCCCCCCACCCAGUGUUUGUCAUGACUUGUGACAUGAAAGGAAUUCUGCAUCAGAGAAUCAUAAUUUUCCACCUGCUGAAAUGGAAACACCCAAGCAAGUGCUCAUGGCAUAUGGUAGUUAAUAUGGUUCCAUAAUCAUUACUCUGUCAUCUCUUUUUUUUCUUUGGAUCUUUUCUCUAUGGGGUAGUUCCUGUUCAAAACCCCAAGUUACAUUUCCCAGCAGUUAGAAAAUCUGAAGGACCUGCAUUGUAGUACAGUGCACAUCUGUGAUUAUAAUACUCCGUUUUUCUCCAUUCUUCAUUUUUUUUUUCAGAGAACUUUCUCAGGAGAUCAGUGAGGGUCCCUGGACAGAGUUUUCAUUUGACAACCUUGAGGGCAUUCCCAAGCAGAGAGGCUCUAAUAGUUGUGGGGUGUUCAUCCUAAUGUAUGCUGUCUACAUCGUCUUUGGCCUCUCUUUUGACUUCACGGAGGCUGUCAUCUGGCAAAAGCAGAAAAAGGAGGCCACAGACAACCAACACAGCAGGACAGUGUGCGGUGGAGGCCCUGACUGUGACUGUCCCCCCCUCCUUGUAAAAGACCAAGUGUGGAGACUACAAACAUCAUGUCAGACCUGACAACUGCAGUGGAGUGGACAAGGCGCCAUAUGACGCGGUUCCAGGGACGUGUCUCCUUUCCCACAAUUAUUCAUAUGACAGAGGCGGAAAAAGAGGAUGCACUGCGCAAGCUGAAAACCACAGAUGACCUGAUGACCCAUGACCUGGAGACUAAAGACCCCUUCUUGUUCAUUUUCACACACCAAGAGGACAUGGAGGUGUUUCUCCAAAAUUGUGUGGGUCAACAGCACCUCCACGUAAAUGCUAUGUUCGAUGGUGAACUUUAGUGCCUGUUAUUCUUAAGUUGUAUUUUAAAAUGUUAUGCGUUUCUGUGCAUCAAUGUUUCUUGUUUUGAUGUACCUUUGUUUACUUUAUAAAAACUGCCAUAUGUUUGUGUGCCGUGUGUGUGUAAUAUGUAGUUUUUU
Long non-coding RNA from Clupea harengus (Atlantic herring), 2297 nucleotides. RefSeq lists it as uncharacterized. The transcript is spliced from 7 exons. The record is from RefSeq and is a predicted model, not a curated record. Lineage: Eukaryota; Metazoa; Chordata; Actinopteri; Clupeiformes; Clupeidae.